GGUCGCAGCGGCAGCAGCAGUGGGCGGUGGGCGGUGGGUGGCUUUGGGGUGGCGGUGCCAGAAUUAAGCCGAAAAAUCGCGAAUAAGCCGAAAGUGCGUGCUCCCGACUGAGCCACCUACGAGUUUUACCACCAAAACAAAAACACAAAACGGCAAAAGCUAGAAAGUAACAUUAUUUCAAGUGCCAACAACAUCCACGUCACGUGCCCGUCAGCGACAAUGUCUUGGUCUAGUCUUGGUUCUAUAACGCCUUUGACCUCCAAGCACGCCGAAGCUUUACAAGUUGAGUUGUUGCCCCGUGCGGCGUGGACUUUGCACCCGCCAGCCCCGGUAGCACUUUUAACCCGGCCAAAACGGCCACUGUUGCCGGAACCACACGCGGCCAAAGCGCUUUCAUGAGGAUGCCAGGACACGGCCGGCCAGCAUUUCCUACAGGGCACGAAGGACAUCCUCGGCAACAUCAAACGAGAGCGCCCACAAGGGGAUACAGUUGUUAACGUGGCCAAGGAGCAGCGACGACUAUGGCGGGUACAAAAACACAAACAUGGCAACCGAGUGUGUCGUGAAGGCAGCAAAAGGACGAAGGGGACAAAGGACAACGGACGGAGGAGAGCACUUUAUGUGCAUAUAAUGUCCGCCAACACACACACAGGCACACACAGGACCACCUCGAGUACAGUGUCGGCCAAGUUGCGGGGAAUUGUUAAUAUUGUCUGGGCCUGUAAGCAGCAUUUACAUGCUGGCCGACACCACGUACUACAUACGUCCUGGCUGAUGGACGACGGGAAGAAGCUCCUGCUCCUCCUGCUGCAGUUCCUGGUCCUGUUUCUACUGCUCCUGCGGCUGAUGAUGCCCGCUUUAAAUGUUGAAUUAACUGACGAAACCGGCAGCUUUCAUUAGAAGUGGAGGUUGGAUCCUGUGACUGGAGAGAGUUGUGGGAUGUGGAAAGCCCAAAUGCCGAUGCAUUCUCGAUUCACCGACAUUAAGACAAAAAUAAACUUGAUUUUGGUAUGAAAUUGAUUCAUUCAUUUUCGAUCCAUUGAGUAAGAUUCUUAUCCGAUGGAUGAGUCGGGCAGCCUCUUCCACGCUUCCAACUGUGUGCCCAUCCAACAGGUAGUCAAACCAGACAAACUGUCUCCACUUGGACAUCGUCUUCGUUUCCCUCAUCUUUUUUCCCCUCUGAAGGCGAACGAGUGCACUUUGAAUGCAGAUUUUUAAGGAGCAGAAUCUGAAGGAUGAUGGUCAUAUUCGGAGCUACUUGGGUUUUGCAAAUAUCUGGUGACAGGGGACUCUACGGAUUUACAGCAAACCUGAAAUUAUCAGCUAUGAGGAAUAUUUCCGGAAUAUUAUUACAAACUUUAAUAUUUUAAUAA
This is a long non-coding RNA of Drosophila kikkawai, 1373 nucleotides long. RefSeq lists it as uncharacterized. NCBI's taxonomy places the organism in Eukaryota, Metazoa, Arthropoda, Insecta, Diptera, Drosophilidae. The record is from RefSeq and is a predicted model, not a curated record.